Long non-coding RNA from Myotis lucifugus (little brown bat), 790 nucleotides. RefSeq lists it as uncharacterized. NCBI's taxonomy places the organism in Eukaryota, Metazoa, Chordata, Mammalia, Chiroptera, Vespertilionidae. The record is from RefSeq and is a predicted model, not a curated record. The transcript has 2 exons.
UGUCCGCAGCAGCCCGGGGCCAAGAGUGUGCGUCAUCGACGAGGUGGGGAAGAUGGAGCUCUUCAGCCAGCCCUUCGUGCAGGCUGUUCGGCAGACCCUGGCCGCCCCGGGGACCGUGGUCCUGGGCACCAUCCCGGUCCCCAAAGGGAAACCGCUGGCCUUCGUGGAGGAAAUCCGGAGCCGGGCGGACGUGCAGGUGUUCAGUGUCACCAAGGAGAACAGGAACCACCUCUUGCCGGAUAUUGUGAGGUGCGUGCAGAGCGGCGGGAAGUGAGUGAUGGGCUCGCCCGCCCGUCCAGCAGCCCGGCCCGAGGGCGCCGGGCCCCCCGGCUCUGAACCGUGUGGGUUUCCGCAGGGAAAGCCUGCAGCUGUUUCCCAUAAAGGGUUCAGAGGGCGAGUCGGCCUGCACGCUGGCCCGCCACAGGACUGGUCAUGGCCGUGCGUAUCCGCGGCUGUUUAUUUCCUCUGCGGUUGUGCGUCUGAUUGGGGUAAAUUCUGAGAUGAGGAAGGUUCCGGGAACCAGAUGGGAUCCGCCCCAGUGAAGCUGAUGAAUGUGUGUGGGGGAAGGGGGGCUACUGCCUCAUCUGUUCUGCACUUCGCGGACGUGAAGCCCUCCCAGGUGCAGCCUCCCAGUGCGUCCGCAUCUCGUGCAGCCUGAAGCGUGAAGUUACUUGAUCUUUAAAAGGAUUAUUUUGAAAGAAGAGCCCUUCGGGCCCUCCCCCCACCAUCUUUUACUGUUUCCUUGUUUGCUUAUUACUUUAUAAAAUAAAAGGAGCGUGAUGGUUGCAGA